This is a non-coding RNA of Carassius gibelio (silver crucian carp), 351 nucleotides long. NCBI's taxonomy places the organism in Eukaryota, Metazoa, Chordata, Actinopteri, Cypriniformes, Cyprinidae. The record is from the annotation of a RefSeq genome assembly.
AUGGAGAGAUGUGUUCUACUGAUUCUCAUAACAGUACCAGGUGUAUUUGCUGACAGCAUUGAACCAAAAGUCAAGGACGAUAUAAUCAGUGAAGAAGGAGAGUCUGUGAAACUGAGCUGCUCAUAUGAUACAAGCAGCAGUUAUGUUAUGCUUUACUGGUACAAACAGUAUCCCAACAAUGAACCUCAGUUUAUAUUGCGUAAAGGUGCUCGAUCAUGGAGCGGUGAGGAUAUACCAGACCGUCGGUUUCAGACGACUACAGGCCAAAAAUCCACUGAACUCACUAUUAACAGUGUAACUCUGUCAGAUUCAGCUCUCUAUUAUUGUGCUCUAAGAGUUGGAGCCCAGUGA